AACAGCUACUAGAGGGGCAGGGCCGGGGCGCGCCAGCCGCGGGCCUCUGUGCCCCUGGGACCGCCGCGGGCCCGCGGGGGGAGGCGCGCUGCCCGGGGAUGGCGUCAGACUGCACGGCUUCCUCAAUAAUUCACCAGCCUCAGGGCGGGUCAGGGCGCGGCCGGACGACAACACGGAGUAGGAGGAGCUGGAGACGGGGGUUCCCAGCGGGGCAGUUUCUGGGUACUGAACGUUCCCUGUCCCGAGGCCCCCAGAGGAGCACGCUAAAGAACGCAGCGCGGCCUCGGUGGGCCGGACUCGUUGAAGGAAACCACCUGCCCCACCCGUUUCGGCCAGCUGGCCGUCCAAGCGCAUGCGCGCUUCUCGCCUUCCGCGCCCUCUUCCGCUCAGACUCCCGAAUACGCUUGCGCUCCAUCUGGACUACGGCUGGUCAGCGAGAGCAGUCCGUCCCCAAGAUGGCCAAUAGGCGUGCGGAAGGGUCCGCGUCCCGCCUCCCAGCGAUUCGAAGCCCCGCCCGCGCCCCGCCCCGCCGACCCGCGCGUCCUGCGGCUGAGCGUCGAGGCUACGCUUCCCGGGUGGGCGCUGGCUCCGCGGACCUGCAUCCCCGCUGGGCCGUGUCCCCGCCCGGCCUCUCCGCAGGGCGGGCGGCGCAGGGGUUUCCCUUCGCCUCUGGCUGAGGCUGCUGUUUCGCCUCGGCGGUAGGCGUGUUGGAUGUUGCGCUGUUGGACUCUCACUCUCCCCUCUCUGCCUUUGCAGUUCACCUUUAAAGAUUUUAUUUAUUUAUUCGACAGAGAUAGAGACAGCCAGCGAGAGAGGGAACACAGCAGGGGGAGUGGGAGAGGAAGAAGCAGGCUCAUAGCGGAGGAGCCUGAUGUGGGGCUCGAUCCCAUAACGCCGGGAUCACGCCCUGAGUCGAAGGCAGACGCUUAACCGCUGUGCCACCCAAGCGCCCCUGCAGUUCACCUUUUCAUCAUCGUUGUUAUUAUUAAUUGUAGGAAUGGCCCUCUAAUGCUAAUGAAGAGGAGAGAAUAAGCGGGGUGGGGGCAGAGGGAGAAGGAGGGGGAGAAGCAGACUCCCCGCCGAGCAGGGAGCCCAACGCGGGACUCGAUCUCAGGACUCUGGGAUCAUGUCCUGAGCCGAAGGCCGACGCUCAACCGACUGAGCCCCCCAGGCGCUGGGGGAUGAAAUCUUUAUAUGCACUCCACCCACUUGUUUGUUUGAGAGGUGGAGUGGGAAGAAAGUCUGUAUAAUUUAUCCAUUCGUUAGUCGUUCGACAAACACACUGAGCGCGGAACCCGCGCCAGCCACUGCGCUGCCGCCAGGGAUGGGGCGGGGCUCCAGGGCACGCUGGUCCCUACCCUGGUGGGCUUACCCACGGACAAAGCAACCACUGAGAGGAGAAGAAGAAAGUACUCGCACGGCCAAAGGGAGAGCAGAGGUGAGAUGAAAUAUGGCCUAUUGGAGGAAUGCGGUUGGAGCAUAAGGUGCAAAGGGACAGCUGCCCUCUCUGGAGUUCAGCUGUCUUUUAGAAGUGCUGUGCAAAGAGGACUGAAGAGUGCAUCUGUGGCCACCUCAGGCGCCCCUCGUGGCCCCCCAGCAGGCCUAGGUGUUGGAGGGGACGCCCCUAGGGCAGUGGUCUUCAGUCGCCCCCUAGGGGGCAUUCUGAAAACUGGUGUCUUUUGUGGGGACCACCAUCAGGAGGCAGUCUGAGGACUUGGAGGCGCCAGGACUGGAAAGGCAGACAUUCCAGAAUGCGCGUUAUGUCCCACACAAGGAAAAACCAUCUCUCAUUCUAUUCGACUUUGGAAUGUUUUGCUCAAGAACAUAUUCAAAGUAAAAAUCAAACUUAAGCCUUUAAAUUUAAGCAGGACUUUAUUAUGUAAUAAUAAAGGAAAUUUUUACCUGAAGUUUUUUGGGGAAAAGCCCAAUAAUUUAGGUCAUCGUGGAGAAGGACGCGUAAAGACAGUCCGUCGUCCUGGAAUUGUUGUAUGCGUGCUCUUGGUGAUGCUGGGCGCCUCCAGCUGCGUGAUAUGUGGUGGAAAGAGCUUCGGGCCACCAGUGCGGUUCCUUGCAAAAGGAACCACCAGCUACAAAUCCACCCACGUGCGCUUCUCACCAGCUUAAAUGAGCUGUAAUUUGCACACUACCGCAGUCCCUCCUUUUCUUUUUUUAAAGAUUUUAUUUAUUUGUCAGAGAGAGAGAGAACAGGCAGGAGGAGCAGCAGGCAGAGAGAGAAUCAGGCUCCCCACUAAGAAGCCCAAUGCAGGACUUGAUCCCAGGACCCUGGGAUCAUGACCUGAGCUGAAGGCAGACGCUUAACCAACUGAGCCACCCAGGGGCCCUAUAAGUAAGUCCUCAUCUUCACAUUCGUUUCAGGACAGGAAAGAGUGUGUUAGGAAAUACUUGCUAUGGAGAGGGGUGCUCAGGAUCUGGGGCUGAGACCUCCCAGGAUGGAGAGCAGAGCUGAGCAGCGCCUCCCGACUGAGUCAGUCAUUCUUGCCCCAGUGGGAAUGCACUGUUGAAGCUGCGCCUUGACUGAUGCCUUCGGAGAAAAGCACCAGAGACGCUACCACGGAGCCCGCACAUCACAAGCCAGCGCGGGCUUCAACCUGUGCGAGAAGAGCUCUCCAUGAGCACAAGCGACGGGUGAAAACAGUGCCAUCGCUGCAGCUCUUGAAAAUACCCAGCACCUACCAUAGCGUCUGGCACACCAGAGCCUCCCAUAACUACGUGGGUGCGCGUGGGAUUCUGGACACGAAUGCAGUUUCUGCCACCGAGUGGCCACCGGACUUUGGGCGAUUUCAUGACCUUUCAGAGUCUUAGGUUCCUCACCUUUAAAAUGGGAAAAACAGCGGCCCAUUCCGUAAGUGUCCGACUUGUGAUUUUGGCUCAGGUAGUGAUCUUGGGGUUGUGAUCUCGGGGCCAUGGGAUCGAGCCCCGCAUCGGGCUCCAGGCUCAGCG
Molecule: long non-coding RNA, 2961 nt
Organism: Ailuropoda melanoleuca (giant panda)
Lineage: Eukaryota; Metazoa; Chordata; Mammalia; Carnivora; Ursidae
Exons: 4
Source: RefSeq, a predicted model, not a curated record